Molecule: transfer RNA, 75 nt
Filed under: Clostridia bacterium
Lineage: Bacteria; Bacillati; Bacillota; Clostridia
Description: tRNA-Met
Rfam family: tRNA
About the family: Transfer RNA (tRNA) molecules are approximately 80 nucleotides in length. Their secondary structure includes four short double-helical elements and three loops (D, anti-codon, and T loops).
Source: RNAcentral
GGAUACAUAGUUCAAUGGUAGAGCAAUCGGCUCAUAACCGAUAAGUUGCAGGUUCAAGUCCUGUUGUAUCCACUA